GUAGUCCACGCCCUAAACGAUGAGUGCUAGAUAUCGGGGCUUAUGUCCUCGGUGUCGUAGCUAACGCGUUAAGCACUCCGCCUGGGAAGUACGAUCGCAAGAUUAAAACUCAAACGGAAUUGACGGGGACCCGCACAAGCGGUGGAACAUGUGGUUUAAUUCGAUGCUACGCGAAAAACCUUACCAGGCCUUGACAUAAUGGUUAAAUUGUAGAGAGAUCUAUGAGUCGGUUCGGCCGGACCAUUACAGGUGUUGCAUGGCUGUCGUCAGCUCGUGUCGUGAGAUGUUGGGUUAAGUCCCGCAACGAGCGCAACCCUUAUCCUUAGUUACCAGCGGGUUAUGCCGGGCACUUUAAGGAAACUGCCGGUGAUAAGCCGGA
This 379-nucleotide ribosomal RNA is filed under the name uncultured bacterium. Its description in RNAcentral is "bacterial SSU rRNA". It matches the Rfam family "Bacterial small subunit ribosomal RNA", at positions 790 to 1167 of the family's 1533-position model. The record is from RNAcentral.